RNAcentral lists this ribosomal RNA (497 nucleotides) under uncultured bacterium. RNAcentral describes it as "partial 16S ribosomal RNA". It matches the Rfam family "Bacterial small subunit ribosomal RNA", at positions 28 to 507 of the family's 1533-position model. The record is from RNAcentral.
GAUGAACGCUGGCGGCGUGCCUAAUACAUGCAAGUCGAGCGAACGGACGAGAAGCUUGCUUCUCUGAUGUUAGCGGCGGACGGGUGAGUAACACGUGGAUAACCUACCUAUAAUACUGGGAUAACUUCGGGAAACCGGAGCUAAUACCGGAUAAUAUUUUGAACCGCAUGGUUCAAAAGUGAAAGACGGUCUUGCUGUCACUUAUAGAUGGAUCCGCGCUGCAUUAGCUAGUUGGUAAGGUAACGGCUUACCAAGGCAACGAUGCAUAGCCGACCUGAGAGGGUGAUCGGCCACACUGGAACUGAGACACGGUCCAGACUCCUACGGGAGGCAGCAGUAGGGAAUCUUCCGCAAUGGGCGAAAGCCUGACGGAGCAACGCCGCGUGAGUGAUGAAGGUCUUCGGAUCGUAAAACUCUGUUAUUAGGGAAGAACAUAUGUGUAAGUAACUGUGCACAUCUUUACGGUACCUAAUCAGAAAGCCACGGCUAACUACGUG